This 315-nucleotide long non-coding RNA is filed under the name Setaria viridis. Its description in RNAcentral is "long non-coding RNA (SVIR_LNC003081)". The record is from RNAcentral. Lineage: Eukaryota; Viridiplantae; Streptophyta; Magnoliopsida; Poales; Poaceae.
GGGAAGGGUGGUGGGGCAAGGGGAGACGACGACACGCAGGUGACGUCCCCGACGCGACGUCACCCAGGUGAUGCGGUGCCGAGGGGCGGUAGAGCGAGGUGGAUGGGGCCGCUGCGUGUGUCCACGUCGUUGCUGGAGAAAAAUAUUACGCAUAAUUAGGCGAUGCCAAAGUGUGGGUUAGAUCGUGGGGAAUCAAGAGUUUUGGAUCCUUUCGGACUUCCCCGUCGGCCAUUGAAAAUCGUUGGAACGGCAAAGCAGAGGAGAGGAAGCUAGAAAGCGCGUGUGGAACGGAGGAUUUGCCGGUUCCUUUCCUGC